ACCUUUGCCCCAGUCUGAGGUCCUGAGCACUCUAGAGCAGGUUUUUGUCAAGGAUCGAUCUAUACUUUGCUCCGUUCAUCUUUGCCUCGAUCCCGACUAGUCUCCCAGUCCCUGCCGCUGAAAAACAUCCCCACAGCAUGAUGCUGCCACCACCACCAUGCUUCACCGUAGGGAUGGUGCCAGGUUUCCUCAAGAUGUGACGCUUGACAUUCAGGCCAAAGAGUUCAAUCUUGGUUUCAUCAGACCAGAGAAUCUUGUUUUUGAUGGUCUGUGAGUCUUUAGGUGCCUUUUGGCAAACUCCAAGCGGGCUGCCAUGUGCCUUUUACUGAGGAGUGGCUUCCGUCUGGCCAUUCAACCAGUCCAGGCCAGUUUUAGUGUAGGUUAUAGCAGAAUCAGUUGGAGGAGUCCAGGCCAGUAUUAGUGUAGGUUGAAUCAGAUGGAGGAGUCCAGGCCAGUAUUAGUGUAGGUUGAAUCAGAUGGAGGAGUCCAGGCCAGUAUUAGAGUAGGUUGAAUCAGCUGGAGGAGUCCAGGCCAGUAUUAGAGUAGGUUGAAUCAGAUGGAGGAGUCCAGGCCAGUAUUAGCGUAGGUUGAAUCAGCUGGAGGAGUCCAGGCCAGUAUUAGAGUAGGUUGAAUCAGCUGAUGGAGACCAGGCCAGUAUUAGAGUAGGUUGUAUCAGAAUCAGCUGGAGGAGUCCAGGCCAGUAUUAGUGUAGGUUGAAUCAGCUGGAGGAGUCCAGGCCAGUAUUAGUGUAGGUUGAAUCAGCUGAAGGAGUCCAGGCCAGUAUUAGAGUAGGUUGAAUCAGCUGAUGCAGUCUAGGCCAGUAUUAGAGUAGGUUGAAUCAGUUGGAGGAGUCCAGGCCAGUAUUAGUGUAGGUUGAAUCAGCUGAUGGAGUCCAGGCCAGUAUUAGUGUAGGUUGAAUCAGCUGGAGGAGUCCAGGCCAGUAUUAGUGUAGGUUGAAUCAGCUGAAGGAGUCCAGGCCAGUAUUAGUGUAGGUUGAAUCAGCUGAUGGAGUCCAGGCCAGUAUUAGUGUAGGUUGAAUCAGCUGGAGGAGUCCAGGCCAGGCUGUUGCUGCUUAGGCGACACACUCAUUCACACCACAAGGUCAAUUUUAUACUUAUACUGAAAGCAUGGUGUUUGUGUGAUUAAUCAUUGAACACGUCUCUUAUUUUACAUGUUCCUGAUUACAUUAACACAGCACUAGCCAGACACUUCUCAGUAUUCAUCACACCUGUGUGUGUGUGUGUGUGUGUGUGUGUGUGUGUGUGUGUGUGUGUGUGUGUG
RNAcentral lists this long non-coding RNA (1281 nucleotides) under Salmo salar (Atlantic salmon). RNAcentral's name for it is "lncRNA (ENSSSAG00000092371.1)". Lineage: Eukaryota; Metazoa; Chordata; Actinopteri; Salmoniformes; Salmonidae. The record is from RNAcentral.